UGAACGCUGGCGGCAGGCCUAACACAUGCAAAUCGAACGGUAACAGGAAGAAGCUUGCUUCUUUGCUGACGAGUGGCGGACGGGUGAGUAAUGUCUGGGAAACUGCCUGAUGGAGGGGGAUAACUACUGGAAACGGUAGCUAAUACCGCAUAACGUCGCAAGACCAAAGAGGGGGACCUUCGGGCCUCUUGCCAUCGGAUGUGCCCAGAUGGGAUUAGCUAGUAGGUGGGGUAACGGCUCACCUAGGCGACGAUCCCUAGCUGGUCUGAGAGGAUGACCAGCCACACUGGAACUGAGACACGGUCCAGACUCCUACGGGAGGCAGCAGUGGGGAAUAUUGCACAAUGGGCGCAAGCCUGAUGCAGCCAUGCCGCGUGUAUGAAGAAGGCCUUCGGGUUGUAAAGUACUUUCAGCGGGGAGGAAGGGAGUAAAGUUAAUACCUUUGCUCAUUGACGUUACCCGCAGAAGAAGCACCGGCUAACUCCGUG
Molecule: ribosomal RNA, 488 nt
Filed under: uncultured bacterium
Lineage: Bacteria
Description: partial 16S ribosomal RNA
Rfam family: Bacterial small subunit ribosomal RNA
Source: RNAcentral